CAAAAGUUUCAAACGUUGUGGGUUAAGGCGUAGAAUCAGGCUGUAACGGUAAGAAGUCGUGCCAAAGAACUCGAUCUCCAAAUCCCAGAAACCCAAAAACCUCUUCAAUUUUGGCUGUUCGUCUCUCUCAAACCCUGUCUUUUCUCCACUGCUCUGGUGUGGAAAUCGAUCGCACAUCCUCAAUAUCGCAGGUGAAUGUUCCUCUCUCUGUUGUUUUUUUUUUUUUUUUUUCUGCAAAAGAGAACUUCUGGAAGAAUGAAACUAAUUUCCGUUGGUGUACCAUAGUGAAAUUUCAAAUUCUCUUUUCCAUUAUUGCUUGGUGAAGCUUCGGUCAUGGUAGGUUGAAGAUCGGACAGUAUCAUCUCCUUCUACUCCAUUUGCCUUGCCUUCAGUUUCUCUUGCUGGAGUCGUGGCAAAGAACUCGAUCGUCAAAUCCCAGAAACCCAAAAGCCUCUUCAAUUUUGGCUGUUCGUCUCUGUCAAACCCUAUCUUUUCUCCACUGCUCUGGUGUGGAAAUCGAUCGCACAUCUGGUUUAAGGCGUAGAAUCAGGUUGUAACGGUAAAAAGGUAAGAAGUUGCGCCAAAGAACUCGAUCGCCAAAUCCCAGAAACCCAAAGCCUCUCCAAUUUUGGCUGUGCGUCUCUCUCAAACCCUAUCUUUUCCCCACUGCUCUGGUUUGGAAAUCGAUCGCACAUCCUCAAUAUCACAGUGAAAUUUCAAAUUCUCUUUUCCAUUAUUGCUUGGUGAAGCUUCGGUCAUGGUAGGUUGAAGAUCGGACAGUAUCAUCUCGGGUGAAACAUGGGAGCUGUCAAAUUGGAACUCUGGUGUCCUGAAAACAUUAAUGGAGUAGCAGUAAAUCCACAGCCAGAUUGUAGUUUGGAUAUUCUCACUACAGAAAUGAAUUCCCUGCAUCUCAAUGCCUCUUUCUUGCGCCAUGUGCCCUUUGUUAAAUCAAGAAUCUGGGCUUCCUCAUCGCAAUGUGUUUAACUGUCAUGGAAAAAUUUUCAUUUGGAAUUGAUUCAUAGCCCUGUCAAGUGAAUUAAGCUUCUCUAUUACAAAAAAAAAGGUAUUCGAUUCCCCUUUUCUUAUUUGGGCUGCUCUGGUUAGUGAUCAGUGAGAAAGCUCGAUGAAAAUGUGCAUCUGAGAGUGUGCCUGGGCCCUCAAAUACCAAUUUCAGUGACAGAAAGCAACAGCCUUUUCAUUCUUCCUUUUUAAGUGAGCCGGCGAAUUUGUUGUCUAUGGAAUCAAGAAAUUUAGAUGGUAAAUGUGAAGAUCCAAUGGUGAAAUCUGGUAGGUUGGUCAGAUCUUCUGAAGUCCAUUUUACUGAUUUGAAGAUGGAGAGGUCAGAAUGUGGUACUGCAUUCAAUUCCUCAAAUUUUUCUCCAGUUGCCAAUUUUUCUAAAUCAGCAAAGAUUGCUAAUUCUGAGAUACCAUAUGAGAACAAGAGUGUGCCAGUCAUACAUGGAUCUGAUGGUGAUUCUUCUAGAAUGCAUAUAUUUUGUCUUGAGCAUGCUGUGGAAGUGGAAAAGCAAAUUGACGUUAUCGGAGGAGUGCAUAUGUUGCUACUAUUACAUCCAAGUGAGUUUGGUUAUGGAUGACCGGCCAUAACCAAGUACCUGGUGCAGCACAGGCGUGUGCAUAUGGAUGACUGCCCACUGAAGUGCCCAUGGAAAGGGUGCAAGAUGACGUUCAAGAGGGAGAGCCAUAUCCCUUGAGGAGGUUGCAAAGGUUGGAGGCAACAACGCGUUCUUGCAAAGCUCCUUACCAGACCGAUUACGUGCUUUUGAUCCAUCUACUGAGACAUCUGAGUCAUCCCAUCACGCAU
This is an RNA transcript of Macadamia integrifolia, 1825 nucleotides long. It is a transcript of the gene named pathogen-related protein-like, with no coding region annotated. Lineage: Eukaryota; Viridiplantae; Streptophyta; Magnoliopsida; Proteales; Proteaceae. The transcript has 6 exons. The record is from RefSeq and is a predicted model, not a curated record.